Molecule: ribosomal RNA, 301 nt
Filed under: uncultured bacterium
Lineage: Bacteria
Description: partial 16S ribosomal RNA
Rfam family: Bacterial small subunit ribosomal RNA
Source: RNAcentral
CAGUCGCCGCGGGAAUACGGAGGGCGCGAGCGUUACCCGGAUUUACUGGGCGUAAAGGGCGUGUAGGCGGCCUGGGGCGUCCCAUGUGAAAGGCCACGGCUCAACCGUGGAGGAGCGUGGGAUACGCUCAGGCUAGAGGGUGGGAGAGGGUGGUGGAAUUCCCGGAGUAGCGGUGAAAUGCGCAGAUACCGGGAGGAACGCCGAUGGCGAAGGCAGCCACCUGAUCCACUUCUGACGCUGAGGCGUGAAAGCGUGGGGAGCAAACCGGAUUAGAUACCCGCGUAGUCCCUGUCUCUUAUAC